GCAAAAUUAGAGAAAAAUUGAAAGUCAAGUAAAUUUUGAGUAGAUUCUUAAAUUGGUACAGAACUUUUUCCGUGGCAAAACUUGAUCUGUGUGGGGGGUUUCUACAUUCAGCUACGAAGAAAAGUUAUCUUCAGUCAUAUAACACUCAUAACUGGAACAAUUCUUCAAAUUCUGAUUAACUGGAAGAUUUUGCAGCUGUAAAACGAGGUGAUUAAGACAUGUCAGCGCUGUUCAAUUUCCAUUCAUUCCUUACAGUUGUUUUGUUAGGCAUAUGUGCCUGCACAUAUGUGAAGAUACAGUUCCCUGCUCUUCUUGAACAGAGAACAGGGUUUCGAGGUGUAUUCUGGAAGGCUGCUAGAAUAGGGGAGCGACUGAGUCCUUGGGUGGCUGUUGGAUGUUUCACAAUGGGCGUGUCUAUCAUAUUCUUCUGAAGAAGAUGCAUUAGGCUCCAGUGACAAUGUUUGUCCUCGUCGGCAGGUUUAUUGUCCUCAUCUGCAGGUUUGUCUUCGUCGGCAUCUUCGGUAAGGCCGUCGACGUCGAUGGCCUCCAUGCUGGCGGUCUUCUUGUGUGAGGUGGAAUCGAGGACAUGCUGGUAAUUUCCCUUCUCCAUGAAUAGCUGCUGGAAGUGGUGCUUGCAGUAGAGCACCCCAUCUAGGGCUGCGUAGUUGGAGUGGGUAAGGGGGCAACCCCCAUGGGCACACUUGAAGCAUGACUUGUGCAAAUUAUGGAGAAGAUGCAAUAGUAGAAGUAUAAAAGGUACAUUGAGAUUUCAGACCAGUUUGAAAAUUCUUGCUGAAAUUUCCAGACUCCUUGAAAAGCUGUUCAAAAUGAGUCUUGCAGUAGAGUACGCCAUCCAUGGAUGAGUAGUUGCUCAUCUGUGAGAGAUACAAUUGUAUCAAGAAUCAUAGAGAGAGAUAUGUAUAUAUGGAGUACUCCUACAAUAUAAAUACAUACAACAAGGGUGCCCUUGCAGUGGCUGCAUUUGAAGCAGGCUUUGUGGUAGUUGGCGCCAUCAGCAGACAAGAGAUCGACGAAAUAAACAGUCUUGUCGCAGGCCUUGCAUUUAUCCUGAGUUCCUGUGAAUGAUGAUGCCAUGGAUUAAUUAAUUAAGGCAAGGCCUAUUCUAUCAAGAGCUGGGAAUUUAGGCAUUAAAUGGGAAUCUGAUUCAAAUUAUGUAAAGAAAUUCCUGGUUCCCAAACCACACACAUGCUUUUAUACCCACCUAAUUAUUCUAUUUCUUGUGGUGGAAUGUUGAUUGGACAUCCCAUAAUCCAGGGAAAUGGAUGGAGCUUGCUACUCAUGGUAGUUACUCUUUCUUUCAUUUUUCCACUCUUUAUGUAAUUAAAUUAUUGUAUUUAUGAGUACUUUUUUGACAUAAUGA
Molecule: non-coding RNA, 1381 nt
Organism: Salvia hispanica
Lineage: Eukaryota; Viridiplantae; Streptophyta; Magnoliopsida; Lamiales; Lamiaceae
Source: RefSeq, a predicted model, not a curated record